RNAcentral lists this ribosomal RNA (236 nucleotides) under uncultured Staphylococcus sp. RNAcentral's name for it is "partial 16S ribosomal RNA". It matches the Rfam family "Bacterial small subunit ribosomal RNA", at positions 104 to 334 of the family's 1533-position model. The record is from RNAcentral. Lineage: Bacteria; Bacillati; Bacillota; Bacilli; Caryophanales; Staphylococcaceae.
GGGUGAGUAACACGUGGAUAACCUACCUAUAAGACUGGGAUAACUUCGGGAAACCGGAGCUAAUACCGGAUAAUAUAUUGAACCGCAUGGUUCAAUAGUGAAAGACGGUUUUGCUGUCACUCAUAGAUGGAUCCGCGCCGCAUUAGCUAGUUGGUAAGGUAACGGCUUACCAAGGCAACGAUGCGUAGCCGACCUGAGAGGGUGAUCGGCCACACUGGAACUGAGACACGGUCCAG